RNAcentral lists this non-coding RNA (300 nucleotides) under Paenibacillus naphthalenovorans. RNAcentral's name for it is "T-box sequence". It matches the Rfam family "T-box leader". From Rfam's summary of the family: Uncharged tRNA acts as the effector for transcription antitermination of genes in the T-box leader family. Lineage: Bacteria; Bacillati; Bacillota; Bacilli; Caryophanales; Paenibacillaceae. The record is from RNAcentral.
CCAAAUGCGUUGAAGGACAUCAGUAGGAUAAGGAGACAAGCUUUCAGAGAGCCGGUGGACGGUGGAAACCGGUACUUAACCUUAUACCGAAUUACAGUCCGGAGCAGCGGAAGGGAACGCCCGAUGGCCGUAUCAUACGGUAUCAGGCCGGUAGCUUCCGAUCGGGCAACCCCCGUUAUCCUGCUGAAGUGAAAGCCAAGACUGGCGUUUAUCUGUUUAGCAGCGGAAUUCGCACUACAGGUUUCGUCUGUCUCGCUUUAAUUAGGGUGGUACCGCGAGCUAAACCUUCUCGUCCCUUGA